Molecule: unclassified non-coding RNA, 359 nt
Filed under: Senecio paulsenii
Lineage: Eukaryota; Viridiplantae; Streptophyta; Magnoliopsida; Asterales; Asteraceae
Description: partial external transcribed spacer
Source: RNAcentral
UGGCAUACCUCUUCAUUUAUGCGUCAUGACUUGUAUCGUCUUGAGCGUAUUGUGGGUUUCCUGUGUUGCAUACCUAAGUAAUGGUAUCRUUUUGAUUGAUCGAAGUCCCUUUUCAUCUUGUGUUGCCUUAGUGACGCAUGAUGAACCUCGAAGCGGUCUUUAUGUUCCACCACGUUGAUGCUAGUGUUUUGAUGUUGUGUGGCCCAUUGAGUGUUGCUUGGUUUCAUGGAUACAGAACAUGAUUUGGGCAUAGAGUCACUUGUGACUCUUGUUUUGUCCGUUAUCAGAAUUCUUUAUAACGACGGUUCAUGCGCGCCUAGGCUCGUACCUGCGCGAUGUUCUUUGUCGAAGAGGAAUGC